AUGAACGCUGGCGGCGUGCCUCAUACAUGCAAGUCGAGCGAACGGACGAGAAGCUUGCUUCUCUGAUGUUAGCGGCGGACGGGUGAGUAACACGUGGAUAACCUACCUAUAAGACUGGGAUAACUUCGGGAAACCGGAGCUAAUACCGGAUAAUAUUUUGAACCGCAUGGUUCAAAAGUGAAAGACGGUCUUGCUGUCACUUAUAGAUGGAUCCGCGCUGCAUUAGCUAGUUGGUAAGGUAACGGCUUACCAAGGCAACGAUGCAUAGCCGACCUGAGAGGGUGAUCGGCCACACUGGAACUGAGACACGGUCCAGACUCCUACGGGAGGCAGCAGUAGGGAAUCUUCCGCAAUGGGCGAAAGCCUGACGGAGCAACGCCGCGUGAGCGAUGAAGGUCUUCGGAUCGUAAAACUCUGUUAUUAGGGAAGAACAUAUGUGUAAGUAACUGUGCACAUCUUGACGGUACCUAAUCAGAAAGCCACGGCUAACUACGUG
RNAcentral lists this ribosomal RNA (496 nucleotides) under uncultured bacterium. RNAcentral describes it as "partial 16S ribosomal RNA". It matches the Rfam family "Bacterial small subunit ribosomal RNA", at positions 29 to 507 of the family's 1533-position model. The record is from RNAcentral.